CCAAACUGCAAGAGCGUGUAUCGGUUACAGCGUCAGUUUUCUAUUUGUCAGUGUAGACAUAUUUUUUAUGUAAUACAUUAAGAUUUAAUGAAAGAGAACUCGUGAAAAAGGUUCAUCUCCUGCACUCAAAAAUCCUUUCAUUUUCUUAAAACCACUAAUCUCUCCUCUCCCGCGCGAGAAGUCUUCGAAUGCAGCCAAACAAUCGAACAAACAAGUAAUGUUCUUUCUUCUUCUUCUUCUAGCAUAGUUACUUGUCAUGUCUUGCAGGAAUUUGAAAAUGCUGCUAAAAGACCUCUUUCCCUCUCUGAGUUGCGAGCUGUUAUUCCCUUGGAGCUAGUCUCUCUCUAAAGAUGCCGAGGCAUUCCAUACCUCCCUCCUGUAGUAAUAUUUUUCUAUCGUUUAAUCUAGAGAACAUGCAUUUCGUCCUGCAAGUUUCAAGAUCUUGGCCAUAUUAACUUCUUAGAUAAAGCCUCUCACUGUAUUGUUCUAUGGAUUUCAGGGAAAGAAAAAGGAAGGAAAUGCCACGAAAUACAUCACCCAGUCCAAAGCUAUUAAAUACUUGCAAUUGUUGUAAGUUUUUGUUCAUUCAUGUCGGAGGUGAUGAGCCAAACCCAAAGUCGCUUAGAGGAGAUUUCGAGUACUCAUAAAAGUCAUACACCAGAUCAUUCUUGAAUGGGACGGUAUGUACUCGCCUGUAGAUGGAAGUCCCUUCUAAAUCUAAAGCAUCUCCCAUUUGCAUCUACCUACCUCUCCAAAGGAUCACUAUCCAUGUUUGCAACUUCAACAUAGCUUCAAAGGUAAAGACAUUAUUUGCAAAUUUGUUGGUAGACUCAGUUUUGAAAAUUAGUGCCAAGAAUUCAAAAGUUGAUUGUCCCCAAUGAAAUGCUUCUGUUGAUGCCCAUCAAGAUCUCCAUGAGGAUUAUAUUUCUAAAGAGGAUUUGUUAGGGUUUGGAGCCAUUUGUUACAACCCAACAGAUUUCCUUGAUGCAAGACUAGGCUGAACCAUAAUGAAAGGAGCGACAAUAGGCAUGGCAUGGUUGAAGAUAUUUUGAAAUCAACAUUUUACAUUUUUAUUGUGAUUUAUUUAUAUAUGUAACAACAGAUUGUUACUUUUUAGUAAUAUAGAUGUCUGAAGUUUACAUUUUGAUGUA
Molecule: non-coding RNA, 1151 nt
Organism: Nelumbo nucifera (sacred lotus)
Lineage: Eukaryota; Viridiplantae; Streptophyta; Magnoliopsida; Proteales; Nelumbonaceae
Source: RefSeq, a predicted model, not a curated record